Raphidocelis subcapitata is the source of this 72-nucleotide non-coding RNA. NCBI's taxonomy places the organism in Eukaryota, Viridiplantae, Chlorophyta, Chlorophyceae, Sphaeropleales, Selenastraceae. The record is from the annotation of a GenBank genome assembly.
GGGAUAGUGGUCUAGUGGUAUGAUUCUCGCUUCGGGUGCGAGAGGUCCCGGGUUCGAUUCCCGGCUGUCCCC